This is a long non-coding RNA of Empidonax traillii (willow flycatcher), 938 nucleotides long. RefSeq lists it as uncharacterized. NCBI's taxonomy places the organism in Eukaryota, Metazoa, Chordata, Aves, Passeriformes, Tyrannidae. The record is from RefSeq and is a predicted model, not a curated record. The transcript has 3 exons.
GAGAUCAAUUUUGACAGAGUAAAACACUACAAAUUACGCUGUCAGAUGACCUCAUCACCCGGGGCUGGCACGCUGGAUUGCAGCAUUGCUGGAAGGAAAAGCAUCAGCGCUGCAGGAAUCUCUGCUCCACGGAAAACUGUUAUUUUUGGAUUCUUCGGGAAGGCGUGCACGUAAACCCGGCGGCUCCCUGGUACCAUCACCAAGUUUCUGCUCCUGUCAGCGCUCCAUCCUCUCCUUCUCAUCCCACAUUACUCCAGGACAGCCUGAUGGGCCAUGGGAAGCUGUUUCCAGACAGCAGGCAGGAGCCAAUCGGAGUGGGACAGCACUGGAUGGACCAUCAGUCCCUUGGCCAGAGCAGUUUGGAACCCAGUGGCAGAGGCAGCAGGUCCCUGACAGGUUUGACGUGAUUUUUUUUUUUACAUUUUUAACCACACUUUUCCUCAAACCCCUCCCAAAAAUGGCAGGGAAAAGGAGCUUUGCCCCUGGUCCUAAAAGGUCAGAAGUUGCAGAAGUGACCCCAAAGUCACAGGACCUAUUUCAUACUGCAGUUGUGCUGGUGCAAACCUCGGUGGCACACAGAGUACUGAUUCUAAAUGGGGUAUUUGGGGAUCCCUAAUAUUACACUGAUUAGGUUUUCUAUUAAAAAAAAAAAAAAGUACUGUUUUUAUCCAUAUUUAAAUAAGGUUCUUAGGUGUAUUAGGGCAGGUUUGGGGAAACGUGACAGAAAUUUAGGCAGAAGCCCUCAGGUAUGGAAAAUGCCACACAAAGACUCCAAGAGAAAACCCCCGACCAUUCAGGUUGUCCAGGGCUUGUUGGUUGAAAUGAUUUUAUUGGUUUGGUUUUGGGGUGUUUUUUUCCUUUAACUGAUGGAGAAUUAAUUGCCCAGGUUUAUUUUUGCUCACGAGCAAAGUUCUCAGGCUGGGUGGGAAUCACUGUUC